Molecule: ribosomal RNA, 445 nt
Filed under: uncultured bacterium
Lineage: Bacteria
Description: partial 16S ribosomal RNA
Rfam family: Bacterial small subunit ribosomal RNA
Source: RNAcentral
GUGAGGAAUAUUGCGCAAUGGAGGCAACUCUGACGCAGCCAUGCCGCGUGCAGGAAGAAGGCGCUACGCGUUGUAAACUGCUUUUAACCGGGAAGAAACCCCAGGACGUGUCCUGGGUUGACGGUACCGGAGGAAUAAGCACCGGCUAACUUCGUGCCAGCAGCCGCGGUAAUACGAAGGGUGCAAGCGUUAUCCGGAUUCAUUGGGUUUAAAGGGUGCGUAGGCGGAGCGUUAAGUCAGUGGUGAAACCCUGCAGCUUAACUGUAGACUUGCCAUUGAUACUGGCGCUCUUGAGUGCGCUUGAAGUGGGCGGAAUGUGCCGUGUAGCGGUGAAAUGCUUAGAUAUGGCACAGAACACCAAUUGCGAAGGCAGCUCACUAAGGCGAUACUGACGCUGAGGCACGAAAGCGUGGGGAUCGAACAGGAUUAGAUACCCUAGUAGUCC